UGAGGGGGAAAAUUAAUUAGUUAUAAAAAUAAUAAAAAAAUUUUUAAGUAAAAUAUUUUAAUAGGGGGUUAAAGUAUAUUUAUAGAAAAAAUUAAAUAAAUUAUAGUAAAAUAGUAUUGUAAAAGAAAUUUGAAAUAAAUGAAAUAAAAAACAAAUUUAAAGUAAUUUUAAUUUGAUGUAUCUUGGGUAUCAGAGUUUAUUAAAAUAAAUUUUUAAAUAAAAAAUUCUCGAAUUUAAAAGAGAUAAUUAAUUAAUAAAGUUAUUGUAGCAUAAAUAUUUAAAAUAAUUAAUUUGAAAUGAAAUGUUAAUCGUUUUUAAAUAUAUCUAGUUAUUUUAGAAAAAAAUUUAAUUUUAUAUUAUUUUAUAAGAAAUUUAAUUAAUUAAAUUUCUUAUAAAAUAAUAUUAUAUUUUAAGGGAUAAGCUUUAAUUUAAAUUUAUAUAAAUAUUAAUUAAAUUUAAAUUGAAUUUUAUAUAAUUUAUAUUGUUAAAAAAUUUUAGUUUAUUAUAAAUAAUUUCAUUAAAAAUAAAAUUUAAUAUAAUUUUAUAUUAUUUAUAAAAUAAAAUUUUUUAAUAAAAAAAAAAUUGAUAUAAUGAUAAAAUUAGUAUAUAAAUUAAAUUAAAAUAUUAUUUUUAAUAAAAUUAAUUAAAAGGAAUUCGGCAAAAAUUUAUAUUCACUUGUUUAUCAAAAACAUGUCUUUUUGAAAUUAAUAUAAAGUCUAAUCUGCCCACUGAUUUUUAAAAUUAAAGGGCUGCAGUAUAUUGACUGUACAAAGGUAGCAUAAUCAUUAGUCAUUUAAUUGAUGACUUGUAUGAAAGAUUGGAUGAAAUAUAAACUGUCUCUUAAUUAAAUAUAGAAUUUAAUUUUUUAAUUAAAAAGUUAAAAUAAAUUAAAAAGACGAGAAGACCCUAUAGAGUUUUAUAAAUAAUUUAGUUAAAAUUAUUUGUAUAAUUAUAAAUUGAAAUUAAUUUAUUUAUUUUGUUGGGGUGACAAAAAAAUAAGUAAAACUUUUUUUUUAAAAAAACAUAUAUAAGUGAAUAAAUGAUCCAAUAUUAUUGAUUAAAAGAAAAAAUUACCUUAGGGAUAACAGCGUAAUUUUUUUUUUUAGUUCAAAUAAGAAGAAAAGUUUGCGACCUCGAUGUUGGAUUAAGAUAAAAUUUAAAUGCAGAAGUUUAAAAUUUUUGAUCUGUUCGAUCAUUAAAAUCUUACAUGAUCUGAGUUCAAACCGGUGUAAGCCAGGUUGGUUUCUAUCUUUUAAAAAUUAUAAUAUUUUAGUACGAAAGGAUUAAAUAUUAAAAUUAAAUUUAUUUUAUUGAAUUUUAUUAAAUUAAU
This 1330-nucleotide ribosomal RNA is filed under the name Xestia c-nigrum (spotted cutworm). RNAcentral's name for it is "16S ribosomal RNA". The record is from RNAcentral. Lineage: Eukaryota; Metazoa; Arthropoda; Insecta; Lepidoptera; Noctuidae.